GACGAACGCUGGCGGCGUGCCUAAUACAUGCAAGUUGAGCGCUGGCGGGUGGUACUUGUGCCAACUGGGUGAGCGGCGGACGGGUGAGUAACGCGUGGGGAAUCUGCCUUUGCGCGGGGGCCAACUUUUGGAAACAAAUGCUAAUACCGCAUAAAAACUUUAAACACAAGGUUUAAGUUUGAAAGAUGCAAUUGCAUCACUCAAGGAUGAUCCCGCGUUGUAUGAGCGAGUGGGUGAGGGAAAGGCUCACCAAGGCGAGGAUACAUGGCCGACCUGAGAGGGUGGUCGGACACACUGGGAAUUGGACCCGGCCCACACUCCAGCGGGAGGCAGCAGUAGGGAAUCUUCGGCAAUGGUCGAAAGUCUGACCGAGCAACCACGCGAGAGUGGAGAAGGUUGUCGGAUCGUAAAGCUGUGUAGGGAGUGAAGGACGUGAGAGAGAGGGGAAAGCGCAGCUAGUUACGGUAACUGCCCAGAAAGGGACGGCUAACUUCGUG
This 497-nucleotide ribosomal RNA is filed under the name uncultured bacterium. RNAcentral describes it as "partial 16S ribosomal RNA". It matches the Rfam family "Bacterial small subunit ribosomal RNA", at positions 28 to 507 of the family's 1533-position model. The record is from RNAcentral.